Non-coding RNA from Etheostoma spectabile (orangethroat darter), 72 nucleotides. The record is from the annotation of a RefSeq genome assembly. NCBI's taxonomy places the organism in Eukaryota, Metazoa, Chordata, Actinopteri, Perciformes, Percidae.
UCCCCUAUGGUCUAGCGGUUAGGAUUCCUGGUUUUCAAUCAGGUGGCCCGGGUUCAACUCCCGGCAUGGGAA